AGUGAACGCUGGCGGCAGGCCUAAUACAUGCAAGUCGAACGGCAGCACGGCAGAGCUUGCUCUGUGGGUGGCGAGUGGCGGACGGGUGAGGAAUACAUGGGAAUCUGCCCAGUCGUGGGGGAUAACGUAGGGAAACUUACGCUAAUACCGCAUGCGCCCUUCGGGGGAAAGCCGGGGACCUUCGGGCCUGGCGCGAUUGGAUGAGCCCAUGUCGGAUUAGCUAGUUGGCGGGGUAAUGGCCCACCAAGGCGACGAUCCGUAGCUGGUCUGAGAGGACGAUCAGCCACACUGGAACUGAGACACGGUCCAGACUCCUACGGGAGGCAGCAGUAGGGAAUAUUGGACAAUGGGCGCAAGCCUGAUCCAGCCAUGCCGCGUGAGUGAAGAAGGCCCUCGGGUUGUAAAGCUCUUUUGUCCGGAAAGAAAAGCGCCGGGUUAAUACCCUGGUGUCCUGACGGUACCGGAAGAAUAAGCACCGGCUAACUUCGUGCCAGCAGCCGAC
RNAcentral lists this ribosomal RNA (502 nucleotides) under uncultured bacterium. RNAcentral describes it as "bacterial SSU rRNA". It matches the Rfam family "Bacterial small subunit ribosomal RNA", at positions 29 to 518 of the family's 1533-position model. The record is from RNAcentral.